This 619-nucleotide ribosomal RNA is filed under the name Escherichia coli. RNAcentral describes it as "partial 23S ribosomal RNA". It matches the Rfam family "Bacterial large subunit ribosomal RNA", at positions 1135 to 1756 of the family's 2925-position model. Lineage: Bacteria; Pseudomonadati; Pseudomonadota; Gammaproteobacteria; Enterobacterales; Enterobacteriaceae. The record is from RNAcentral.
UAAUAGCUCACUGGUCGAGUCGGCCUGCGCGGAAGAUGUAACGGGGCUAAACCAUGCACCGAAGCUGCGGCAGCGACACUAUGUGUUGUUGGGUAGGGGAGCGUUCUGUAAGCCUGCGAAGGUGUACUGUGAGGUAUGCUGGAGGUAUCAGAAGUGCGAAUGCUGACAUAAGUAACGAUAAAGCGGGUGAAAAGCCCGCUCGCCGGAAGACCAAGGGUUCCUGUCCAACGUUAAUCGGGGCAGGGUGAGUCGACCCCUAAGGCGAGGCCGAAAGGCGUAGUCGAUGGGAAACAGGUUAAUAUUCCUGUACUUGGUGUUACUGCGAAGGGGGGACGGAGAAGGCUAUGUUGGCCGGGCGACGGUUGUCCCGGUUUAAGCGUGUAGGCUGGUUUUCCAGGCAAAUCCGGAAAAUCAAGGCUGAGGCGUGAUGACGAGGCACUACGGUGCUGAAGCAACAAAUGCCCUGCUUCCAGGAAAAGCCUCUAAGCAUCAGGUAACAUCAAAUCGUACCCCAAACCGACACAGGUGGUCAGGUAGAGAAUACCAAGGCGCUUGAGAGAACUCGGGUGAAGGAACUAGGCAAAAUGGUGCCGUAACUUCGGGAGAAGGCACGCUGAUA